Molecule: long non-coding RNA, 517 nt
Organism: Ipomoea nil (Japanese morning glory)
Lineage: Eukaryota; Viridiplantae; Streptophyta; Magnoliopsida; Solanales; Convolvulaceae
Exons: 3
Source: RefSeq, a predicted model, not a curated record
AAAUAAAUCAAUUCCGCGAACCAGCAGAAGAGAGAGAAAGGAAGUGGCGAUGGAGUCUUCGAAGUAUCAGGCACCGCCUUAUCCAAGUGCGGCGAAGCUCGCAGAUUCCGACUGCUAUCCUCAAUACACUGCCUCACUAAAAUGUUUAGAAGAAUUUCACACGGACAAGAGUAAAUGCCAGGAACAUUUUGACAAUUACAAGGAAUGCAAGAAAAAGGAGAGAGAAGCUCGGCUGGAGCGUAAUAGAAGUCGUUCUUUCUUCUCAUGAAAACUCUGUUUUGAUAUUGAUUAAAGGAGUGUUUGGUAUUCCAAUUACUCAAUGCCCCAGUGUAUUUCAUAUAGAUUGCUGAAACCUCCCUUUCUUUAAAGGCAGUUUGGCUCGAAUUACAGAGGCUAAUAACGUAUUCUCAGUAUAACUCUAGAGUAAUGUGGAUGUUGAUAAGCUGUAUUAUUGCAUUUACCUAUAGAUGUUGAACAUUGUGGUACACGUGAUUAGUAAUUUUGUCUUUUAGGUAAC